UUCAGCGGCGGACGGGUGAGUAAUGCCUAGGAAUCUGCCUGGUAGUGGGGGACAACGUUUCGAAAGGAACCUAAUACCGCAUACGUCCUACGGGAGAAAGCAGGGGACCUUCGGGCCUUGCGCUAUCAGAUGAGCCUAGGUCGGAUUAGCUAGUUGGUGAGGUAAUGGCUCACCAAGGC
Molecule: ribosomal RNA, 179 nt
Filed under: uncultured bacterium
Lineage: Bacteria
Description: partial 16S ribosomal RNA
Rfam family: Bacterial small subunit ribosomal RNA
Source: RNAcentral